UGUUAAAAAAUUCAUCUAUUAGUACGGUUGGAACCUGGCAUUACUAAUAGAAUAACCAAACAGUGAUGUAUAGCUUAUCAUGUGUAUAUCAUUUUGGCAUACAAUGAUUAAUUUUUAACUUUAAAAAUGGAUGAAAUUUUUAAUA
Non-coding RNA from Gossypium raimondii (Peruvian cotton), 145 nucleotides. Lineage: Eukaryota; Viridiplantae; Streptophyta; Magnoliopsida; Malvales; Malvaceae. The record is from Rfam.